This is a small nuclear RNA of Panthera pardus (leopard), 104 nucleotides long. NCBI's taxonomy places the organism in Eukaryota, Metazoa, Chordata, Mammalia, Carnivora, Felidae. The record is from Ensembl.
GUGCUUGCUUCAGUUGCACAUAUACUAAGAUUGGAACGUUACAGAAGACUAGCAUGGUCCCUGCACCAGGGGACAAAGCAGUACUAUAAGUCAUACUGCUUCCC